RNAcentral lists this long non-coding RNA (477 nucleotides) under Coturnix japonica (Japanese quail). RNAcentral's name for it is "lncRNA (ENSCJPG00005014042.1)". The record is from RNAcentral. Lineage: Eukaryota; Metazoa; Chordata; Aves; Galliformes; Phasianidae.
UGGAGCACAAACUGGGAGAGAAGUGCUGCUCUGUGGUGAGCUGUGGUGUCAUUGCUGUACUGAGGGUUUAUUCUGUGAACUGAAAGGAAGACAACACUCCUGAUCUUCUCCAUCCUCAUAAACAGCAAGAUUUCAGGAUGGCAUGAUGAGAUUCCAAAACAUCAAAUCCGGAAAGGAUGGGAAUCAGCUGAUUUCUUCUUGAGAUAACACUGAGGAAGAGCAUUACUGCAUGUCUGAUGGAGAACAGCAGACAAGUGAGAAAGUCAAAGGGUGAACAAGAAGUGCAGAAUUUCAUCACAAAAGCUGCACAUUGCAGAGGGAUUGACACCCAGAGAAACAAGCGGAGUUAAACAGGAUUUGACAGGUUGCAGAAAAGAGAGAGUGAACAAGAUGCAAACAGUGAGCAGCAACUACUUAUUAUUUUACUGGUCACCACAACACAUUAAAACUUUCAAAGGCUGUGAAAUUAAUUGCAUG